GAUGAACGCUGGCGGCGUGCCUAAUACAUGCAAGUCGAGCGAACAGACGAGGAGCUUGCUCCUUCGACGUUAGCGGCGGACGGGUGAGUAACACGUAGGUAACCUACCUAUAAGACUGGGAUAACUUCGGGAAACCGGAGCUAAUACCGGAUAAUAUUUCGAACCGCAUGGUUCGAUAGUGAAAGAUGGCUUUGCUAUCACUUAUAGAUGGACCUGCGCCGUAUUAGCUAGUUGGUAAGGUAACGGCUUACCAAGGCAACGAUACGUAGCCGACCUGAGAGGGUGAUCGGCCACACUGGAACUGAGACACGGUCCAGACUCCUACGGGAGGCAGCAGUGGGGAAUCUUCCGCAAUGGGCGAAAGCCUGACGGAGCAACGCCGCGUGAGUGAUGAAGGUCUUCGGAUCGUAAAACUCUGUUAUUAGGGAAGAACAAACGUGUAAGUAACUGUGCACGUCUUGACGGUACCUAAUCAGAAAGCCACGGCUAACUACGUG
RNAcentral lists this ribosomal RNA (497 nucleotides) under uncultured bacterium. RNAcentral's name for it is "partial 16S ribosomal RNA". It matches the Rfam family "Bacterial small subunit ribosomal RNA", at positions 28 to 507 of the family's 1533-position model. The record is from RNAcentral.